Non-coding RNA from Schistocerca cancellata (South American locust), 73 nucleotides. The record is from the annotation of a RefSeq genome assembly. Lineage: Eukaryota; Metazoa; Arthropoda; Insecta; Orthoptera; Acrididae.
GUCUGGAUGGCGUAGUGGUCAGCGCAUUUGCCUUGUAAGCAGAAAACCCAGGUUCGAAUCCUAGUCUGGCACA